ACACAUUAUUUUUUUGCUAUAUAGUAACAUCUUUCAUUAUAGUGGACUAGAUUUAAAUGCUGUCUAAUAUGGCUUAAUCUAUUUUAAACUACUUACUAGACUUCUUUGGAAAUAUAUAUUUACUGUCCACAUCUAUUUUAGCACUAUAGCUGAGCUAGGAAUUUAUGCUUUGUGUGAACCAAUUUAUCUCGUCAGACACAUGAGCAUUCCUGCCCAUUUCUUAGGUAUUUUAGAGCAGAGUUUUCUGGUAACCAUGUUUUUAAUCUGUAAUCAAUUGAAAAUAGAGAAAAUGUGGAAUAAAUGUGUGUAUGGUAGUCAUUUUUUACAGAAUAAAAUUAUGGAAGAAUAAUUGACAAAUACUUGGGUUCUUAAAUGUGACAGCAUCUUUAGACAUAGUUAAAAAUAAGAAGUCACAGAAA
Molecule: long non-coding RNA, 419 nt
Filed under: Rattus norvegicus (Norway rat)
Lineage: Eukaryota; Metazoa; Chordata; Mammalia; Rodentia; Muridae
Description: long non-coding RNA NONRATT011690
Source: RNAcentral